GCCAGGCAUGGUGGCAUAUGCCUCUAAUCCCAGCUACCGGGGAGGCUGAGGCAGGAGGAUCGCAAGUUGGUGUCUAGCCUGGGCAACUCCGCUAGACCCUGUCUCAA
This 107-nucleotide small RNA is filed under the name Marmota monax (woodchuck). Lineage: Eukaryota; Metazoa; Chordata; Mammalia; Rodentia; Sciuridae. The record is from RNAcentral.